Molecule: ribosomal RNA, 478 nt
Filed under: uncultured bacterium
Lineage: Bacteria
Description: bacterial SSU rRNA
Rfam family: Bacterial small subunit ribosomal RNA
Source: RNAcentral
GACGAACGCNGGCGGCGUGCUUAACACAUGCAAGUCGGACGAAGAGCGAUGGAAGCUUGCUUCUAUCAAUCUUAGUGGCGAACGGGUGAGUAACGCGUAAUCAACCUGCCCUUCAGAGGGGGACAACAGUUGGAAACGACUGCUAAUACCGCAUACGAUCUAACCUCGGCAUCGAGGAUAGAUGAAAGGUGGCCUCUACAUGUAAGCUAUCACUGAAGGAGGGGAUUGCGUCUGAUUAGCUAGUUGGAGGGGUAACGGCCCACCAAGGCGAUGAUCAGUAGCCGGUCUGAGAGGAUGAACGGCCACAUUGGGACUGAGACACGGCCCAGACUCCUACGGGAGGCAGCAGUGGGGAAUCUUCCGCAAUGGACGAAAGUCUGACGGAGCAACGCCGCGUGAGUGAUGACGGCCUUCGGGUUGUAAAGCUCUGUUAAUCGGGACGAAAGNCCUUCUUGCGAAUAGUAGAAGGAUGACGNAC